GGGGAUGUAGCCCAGUGGUAGAGCAUUUGCUUAACAGAACAAGACUCUGGGUUCAAUCCCCAGCACCCCCG
Molecule: non-coding RNA, 71 nt
Organism: Ictidomys tridecemlineatus (thirteen-lined ground squirrel)
Lineage: Eukaryota; Metazoa; Chordata; Mammalia; Rodentia; Sciuridae
Source: Rfam